RNAcentral lists this ribosomal RNA (450 nucleotides) under uncultured bacterium. RNAcentral describes it as "bacterial SSU rRNA". It matches the Rfam family "Bacterial small subunit ribosomal RNA", at positions 354 to 796 of the family's 1533-position model. The record is from RNAcentral.
GUGGGGAAUUUUGGACAAUGGGCGCAAGCCUGAUCCAGCCAUGCCGCGUGCAGGAUGAAGGCCUUCGGGUUGUAAACUGCUUUUGUACGGAACGAAAAGACUUCUUCUAAUACAGGAGGUCCAUGACGGUACCGUAAGAAUAAGCACCGGCUAACUACGUGCCAGCAGCCGCGGUAAUACGUAGGGUGCAAGCGUUAAUCGGAAUUACUGGGCGUAAAGCGUGCGCAGGCGGUUAUAUAAGACAGAUGUGAAAUCCCCGGGCUCAACCUGGGAACUGCAUUUGUGACUGUAUAGCUAGAGUACGGUAGAGGGGGAUGGAAUUCCGCGUGUAGCAGUGAAAUGCGUAGAUAUGCGGAGGAACACCGAUGGCGAAGGCAAUCCCCUGGACCUGUACUGACGCUCAUGCACGAAAGCGUGGGGAGCAAACAGGAUUAGAAACCCCGGUAGUCC